GAUAAGUGGUUAUAAGAGAAAAUCUGUAACAAAGGCUAACAAGCAAAGGAAACAGCAAGGAUAUUGAAAAAAAAAAAGAGAAAAUCAAGAGAUGUAUGGAUAAAAUAGACAUCAUCCAAGGUACACUGUCACCUUGCAUAAAGGGAAAGAUGAGCUACCACAGGAUUUCCGAAUUGGAAGCAUUUGGAUGAUGUAGCCUGACACCUCCCAAUUCACUAUGAAUGGUGUAGAAGUCAUGUUUCCAUGAUGCUCUGAGAUUUUAUCCAUCACCAUGAAAGAACAUACCCAGUAUACCCUACUGUCUAAAGUAAAUAGACAGUGACAAGUGA
Long non-coding RNA from Mus musculus (house mouse), 329 nucleotides. RefSeq annotates it as predicted gene 17215. The record is from RefSeq and is marked validated. The transcript has 3 exons. NCBI's taxonomy places the organism in Eukaryota, Metazoa, Chordata, Mammalia, Rodentia, Muridae.